This 65-nucleotide transfer RNA is filed under the name Dipodomys ordii (Ord's kangaroo rat). It matches the Rfam family "tRNA". Rfam says of the family: Transfer RNA (tRNA) molecules are approximately 80 nucleotides in length. Their secondary structure includes four short double-helical elements and three loops (D, anti-codon, and T loops). Lineage: Eukaryota; Metazoa; Chordata; Mammalia; Rodentia; Heteromyidae. The record is from Rfam by way of RNAcentral.
GGUGGCUCAGUGGUAGAGUGCUUGCCUCAUGUGCAUAAGGGCCUGGGUUCAAUUCCUCAGCACCA